GGUCGAAGGAAGUUCCCGUGGGGGGAGAACAAGUGAACAGCCCCAAGUCUGGCGUGGUGAGAAGAGGAAAAGAUCCGCCAGGGUGGGAAGCUGGCCGCCGCAGAUCACGUCAUGGUGCUGUACCAGAUACGCCAUGUGAAAUUGUGAAAGCAAAUCACUGGACUUCCUCGACGAGUGAUGACGGCCGAUGACUCCUUUCUGGCACUAUGCCAGCCAGCCACUGCCUCAUAUCCCUCCAGCCUCCUUCUUUAGGUUGCCUGCCAGCCAUGAACCUGUGAUUACAUAUUUUAGAGUGAAGAAAUCUGAGUCUGGAGACCUUUGAGUCACAGAUCUUCUUGUUCGCGAAAGUAAGGAGACCAAACUUUAUAAUGAUGACAAAGUACAAGUAUGGUCCUCACAAGGGUAGUCUUUCAAGAUGAAGCACAACUUGUGCAUCAAAAUCUUUCGAGAAAGGAAAAUCAAGUAAGGAUAAAAGUGUGAAAAGAGAGCAUCUUUAGAUUAUGUUUUCAAAUAGUUUCAAUGCUAUUCUUUCAGGCUAAGAGGUAGAUGUAUAGGCGUUGUGGGCAAAAUGUACGUUUUCUCCAAUUGGGUGUUAGUCAUCCCUUCUGAUUGAGCUAUUGAAGGGAUCGGUUGACCUAUCAACUUGCUAUUAAUGCGCAAAGUGGCAGUUCAAUUACUUGAGAAGUACGAGUAAUCUACUUAUCCACUGACCAUCCCUUUGGGGUUGAUCAUCUAGGAAAGAAAGCCCAAAGUUAUUUGAAGCUUUGAUUUUUCUCUUUUGUGCCAUGUUAUGAUGAAAUACUUGUUGAAAACAUAACUCAAAACUCAAAAUCUUUAGUCAUUGUUAUCAUUGAAAUAUAAUUAAGGAAACUUUGUUUCUAACAA
Molecule: long non-coding RNA, 885 nt
Organism: Malania oleifera
Lineage: Eukaryota; Viridiplantae; Streptophyta; Magnoliopsida; Santalales; Ximeniaceae
Exons: 3
Source: RefSeq, a predicted model, not a curated record